UCUCCUAUAAAUGUUCAAAGACUACCCUCUCAACCAGGGGGUCUGAAAGGGGCAAAACGAUCUCGUUCGUCCGUUUCACCGCACAGUAAAGUUCUGAAACCCGCUUUUCAUCUCAGCCGUCGGAUGUGGUCAUUCUUUUCUCACCUGUUGGUAUUCUGAGAGAGUCCAUGACGCGUGGGACCAACUGCUUGCGGGACCGACAAUGUGAGACAGCCAGGCGCUCUCGUUCGCGUGAACUUCCAAGCGCGCGAUGGGAAGGGGUGAAAACCUAGAUCGGCUCGCAUGCCUCCUCUGCUCCUCGUCCAAUCCCCAACUCCUCCUCACCUCCCCAAUCGCCGCCACCCCUCCUCCUCUCCUCCCCAAUCACCGCCACCCCUCCUCCUUCCCCAAUCUGCGCCGCUACGGCUGGACGCGGCAGCGGUCGUGGCAGGGGCGGCCGGCUGCUUCAGAGGAGGGAGCACGGCCCAUGAGAUGAAGAGGAGGCGGGGUGGACCGUGCCUCGACCUCAACCUUCCUCUUCUGAGGAGGGCGGAUGGCGGCGGCGACCGGAGGCGCCGGGCGCGGCCACAGAAGGGCCGACGCGCGGCGGAUCCGCUUUGCCGCCGGCAGCUGGACGCGGCAGCGUUGGGGACGGACGACGCGCCAACGCGGAGCAGCGGCAUGCUCCGGAUGCGGAAAAAGGAGGUGUAGGUCGUCGCGGGAGCUCCGACGGCGGCGGCGGUCAAACAGCAGAGUGGCCUCCUCACAGUGGAGGAUCUUCUCCAUCGACGGGCGAGAUCCGGGGUAGGGCCGGCCAGAUCGUUGCGGGCGGCGGAUUUCGAGCGUGGGCGACAGCGACCAUGAGUAUGGGUACCCGUCUUCUUCCCCAGCCAUUCAGUGACUAACGCCCCGAGCGACAACGGAUGCCAGCUGCUGCUUGGAGCCUGGUGGAGUCGGCGCCCUUGCUGCAGCCUACAGCCGUCUCCCCUUGCCCGCUGACUCAUGAUGCAAUCACAGCUGCCCGGGUCGAUCCACACUUCUCCCUUUGCUACAUAGAAACAGAUCAGUUGUUGAAAAUAUAUUAAAAAGAUAGAAGAAUGGUCUCUUGCAAGCAAAAUUUGAUAGUCUGUCGUGUUUUUGAUGGACACCUUCUUAAACUCUUAACUUAUGCUAAAGCGUAUAGAAGAGUGGUACCUGUAAUCAUGGGAUGUUGUUGUUUAAGCUUGCUUGAAUGUUGUGCUACCGUGCUUGCCUAUUUGGUGACGGAAGACUGGAACGAAACCGACCGCCGGCACGGGUUUGGGGGAUGCUGGCCAACAGGAACGGCAUUCAAGUUCAUGGCCCUAGGUUGGGAAGCAGCGCUCGUCGCGGCGAGCAGGCUGAUUUCAAUACGCCAAGGUAAACUUGAGGGCUGGCAUGGGGAGAAGCGGAAGGAGGUCUGGCAUGACAGCAUGUAGGUUAUAGGUUGAGGCCACGGAAAGCAAGCACACCAGAAAACGUCCCAAGCCAUUCGGUUAAAUGUGCAGGAUACAUGAUCAGGUUAUGAUGGAUUCUGCAGCUUAUGUUUCUGUUAGCAAAAUGGACAACAUCCAGCGCUUCUUGGAUAAUAUGUUGAGGUUCAGGAAUCAAUACAUGGGCAAGAAAAAUUCUGAAGGAAAAGGACAUGGAUGCUCUAUCUUCAGGAAAAGGACAUGGAUGCUCUAUCUUCAGGAAAAGGACAUGGAUGAUCUAGAAGAUAUGCACCCUCAAGGAGAAUAGGUCGGGUAAUUGUUUUUGCAUGUGAAUUCUCUUGUUCUUUGUUUUUCAUGGGGGUUAGAUAUUCUAUUUUGACAUCUGUUGGGUUGAAGCUUGUGCUUUUACACUAGGAAGCGCGGUUAACUUUUCUUUCUAAACGAGGAAUGGUGCUUUAAUUAAAUAUGAAUGCAAACAUUCGGAUACAUACAAUGUUUCUAUUAUAAUGUCUCCUAGAUAUGCAUACUGCGUAUAGAGUUUCGUUUAUAGCUUAACUUUUUACGAGUGAUUGAUGUCUGAAUUUGGGUAUCUCCUUAUAUGUGUAUUCUGUAUUUUGCCACAUUGCUUACCCCUGAACUGUGUUGUGAUAUAUUGUGCACAAAAGAGCAAACUUAAAACAAUAUUUGGGGAUAGCCUGCUACUGUAUUAUGGAAUGUUGGUUAAAUAGACAGUAGACUGUACUUUAAAAUUCUUUAAGUCUAAAAAAUAGCUCCAGUCUUCAUUACAUUGUCUGACGUCCUGACUUAUAUUUAUGUUCGGUUGUAUACAUAGUAGGAUCAUUUAUUCUUGCCCCCUCCAAAUUUGUUGGUCAACAUAGAAACAGUAGUGGCUUUCUUCCCCAAAGAUCUGUAGCUCGUGGAAGCGGAAGAUGUGGCACAAGGAGCAGAUGAAAGAGGAAUAGGAAGAUGCCCGGUGCCUCCAAACAUUCUUGUUGCCUGACGAGGUCGCUUGGCUUAGAGCAGUGCAACUUGGAGGAAUGGAGGUGGAGACAACGAUAAAGCGGAGAUCCUUCUGGCUCAUGGCAGAGCUUCCUGGCGGUGAUCACACAACGAUGAGGUUGUGAUUCCUUUUUACUCAGAUUGAGAUGAUAGCAGUAUCGGGUGAGAUGAGGCAGCCUGACGAACACACUGUUUUAAUCGGGUGCAGGUGAGCCUCUUUAUGUGUAUCUUCUCCUCUUCACAUAUUCUGAUAUUCUUAGGUUCUCCAUCAUGUCUGUUUAGUUUCUAAAGCCUUCGCAGGAGGUGAUUAUAUGUCGGCGGGAGACCAUAUCAAGUAGCGCGAAGGAGAGACCUGGUUAUGCUUAAAUGAGAAUAGCAACCUAUUCUUUUCCGAGGAGCAAAUAUUUGGCACAUAAUUAACAACGGGCUUUUUUUUGGUUCCAUGGAGUGUCAUUGUCGUCUUUGUUGGAACAUUGGCUAGGCUGUUCCUGGGUAAUUGUUUUAGACACUGGCUCUUUUGGUUACAUGCUUAUGAUGUUAUGUUCCCUAAGCAAUUGUUUGCUCCCAUUCGGUUACCUACUGGAAAUCUGCUACAUCUAUUGGAUUUCAGUGCAAGUGCUCAAACCUUAAAUUCUCUUCUA
Lolium perenne is the source of this 3070-nucleotide non-coding RNA. The record is from RefSeq and is a predicted model, not a curated record. NCBI's taxonomy places the organism in Eukaryota, Viridiplantae, Streptophyta, Magnoliopsida, Poales, Poaceae.